CACUCCAGAGGUCAUCUGACCUAGUACAUUCUAGAUGGUGACAAUCUGAGGCAUGGGUUGAAUCGAGACCUCUGUUUCGAAGCAAAGGACCGUGCUGAAAAUAUACGCAGAGUAGGAGAAUUAGCAAAACUGUUUGCAGAUGCAGCUCUGAUCUGCAUUGCUCGCUUGAUAUCACCCUACAGAAGUGAACGAAGCGCUUGUCGUAAAUUACUGCACAAUUCUACAUUCAUCGAGGUGUUUUUGCAUGUCCCACUUGAAGUAUGUGAAGCUAGGGAUCCAAAAUGCUUGUACAAGCUUGCCCGUGCUGGAAAAAUCAAAGGGUUCACUGGAAUUGAUGAUCCUUAUGAACCACCUUUUGAUUGCUAG
This 366-nucleotide ribosomal RNA is filed under the name Triticum aestivum (bread wheat). RNAcentral describes it as "partial small subunit ribosomal RNA". The record is from RNAcentral. Lineage: Eukaryota; Viridiplantae; Streptophyta; Magnoliopsida; Poales; Poaceae.